Molecule: ribosomal RNA, 468 nt
Filed under: uncultured bacterium
Lineage: Bacteria
Description: partial 16S ribosomal RNA
Rfam family: Bacterial small subunit ribosomal RNA
Source: RNAcentral
GACGAACGCUGGCGGCAUGCCUAACACAUGCAAGUCGAACGGAAAGGCCCUGCGUUUUUGGUGUGAUCGAGUGGCGAACGGGUGAGGAACACGUAAACAACCUACUCUUGACUUUGGGAUCACUUCAGGAAACUGGACCUAAUACCGUAUAGGAUCUCCUGCUGCAUUGUGGGGAUUGGAUAGUCUCGGCGGUUGGGGAUGGAUUGGCGGCUUAUCAGCUUGCUGGUGGGGUAGGGGCAUACCCAGGCUUGGACCGGUAGCCGGCCUGGGAGGUGGAACGGCGACACUGGGCCUGAGAUGAGGCACAGACUCGAAUGGGAGGGAGUGGUGGGGAGUAUUAUACAACGGGCGGAAGCCUGACGCGACGGCGCCGCGUGCGGGAUGACGUGAUGGGGGUAGUAAACCGCAUUCGUUUGAUACGAAGCGUGUGUGACGGUAACGUAUGAAUAAGCACCGGCUAACUACGUG